RNAcentral lists this ribosomal RNA (465 nucleotides) under uncultured bacterium. Its description in RNAcentral is "bacterial SSU rRNA". It matches the Rfam family "Bacterial small subunit ribosomal RNA", at positions 917 to 1382 of the family's 1533-position model. The record is from RNAcentral.
GGGCCCGCACAAGCGGAGGAACAUGUGGUUUAAUUCGAUGAUACGCGAGGAACCUUACCCGGGCUUGAAAUGCAUCUGACCGACUUGGAAACAGGUCUUCUAGCAAUAGCAGAUGUGUAGGUGCUGCAUGGUUGUCGUCAGCUCGUGCCGUGAGGUGUCGGCUUAAGUGCCAUAACGAGCGCAACCCUUGCCAUUAGUUACUAACAGGUUAUGCUGAGGACUCUAGUGGGACUGCCAUCGUAAGAUGUGAGGAAGGUGGGGAUGACGUCAAAUCAGCACGGCCCUUACGUCCGGGGCGACACACGUGUUACAAUGGGGGGUACAGAAAGCAGCUACUUGGUGACAAGGUGCUAAUCUCCAAAACCUCUCUCAGUUCGGAUCGGAGUCUGCAACUCGACUCUGUGAAGCAGGAUUCGCUAGUAAUCGCGCAUCAGCCAUGGCGCGGUGAAUACGUUCCCGGGCCUU